AUAAUGGUGUCUUUAGACACCACCUUUUUCUUCAAAAUGUUUUGU
Non-coding RNA from Picea glauca (white spruce), 45 nucleotides. The record is from Rfam. Lineage: Eukaryota; Viridiplantae; Streptophyta; Pinopsida; Pinales; Pinaceae.